GACGAACGCUGGCGGCGUGCCUAAUACAUGCAAGUAGAACGCUGAAGGAGGAGCUUGCUUCUCUGGAUGAGUUGCGAACGGGUGAGUAACGCGUAGGUAACCUGCCUGUUAGCGGGGGAUAACUUUUGGAAACGAUAGCUAAUACCGCAUAAUAGCAGUUGUUGCAUGACAACUGUUUGAAAGGUGCAAUUGCACCACUACCAGAUGGACCUGCGUUGUAUUUGGUAGUUGGUGUGGUAACGGCUCACCAAGGCGACGAUACAUAGCCGACCUGUGAGGGUGAGCAGCCGGCCUGGGAGUGUGACCCGGCCCAGACUGCUUGGGGAGGGAGCAGGAGGGAUUCUUCGGCAAUGGACGGAAGUCUGAGCAAGCAACGCCGCGGGAGUGAAGAAGGUUUUCGGAUCGUAAAGCACUGUUGUAGGGGAAGAACGAGUGUGAGAGUGGAAAGUUCACACUGUGACGGUAUCUUACCAGAAAGGGACGGCUAACUACGUG
RNAcentral lists this ribosomal RNA (495 nucleotides) under uncultured bacterium. RNAcentral's name for it is "partial 16S ribosomal RNA". It matches the Rfam family "Bacterial small subunit ribosomal RNA", at positions 28 to 507 of the family's 1533-position model. The record is from RNAcentral.